AUACUACUCCCUUCGUCAGGAAAUACUUGUUAUAGGAAUGGAUGUAUCUAAAUGUAUUUUAGUUCUAGAUAGAUCCAUUUUAUCAAUUUGUGCAAAAAUUAGUUCCGGACGGAGGGAGUAUUUG
Molecule: microRNA precursor, 124 nt
Filed under: Hordeum vulgare
Lineage: Eukaryota; Viridiplantae; Streptophyta; Magnoliopsida; Poales; Poaceae
Description: microRNA MIR1122
Rfam family: MIR1120/MIR1122 microRNA precursor family
Source: RNAcentral